CCCACUUCGGAGCCUGGAGCACAGGGCGAGCUCUCCUCCGCCCUGCAGCCUCAGGUAAGGAUCCGGACCUUCACUGCUGCCCCAACUGGGGCUCCUCAGCUCGGGGCCUCUAGGGGCUUGGGCUGCUGGUCUGGGUGGAGGCGCGUUGGGGGUGUCGAGGAGCUUGGGUGCAAGCCCCAUGCGGGAAGCUCAGGGCAAAGCGCCUUGAAACCCUCUCUAGUGAAGGAAGGUAAAAUGGCUCCGGGACCCCAGGCGGGGAAAGAGGUGUCCAAGGAGGAGGGCUGGAGAGUAAGGCGGGGAUGGCAGAGGGUACGCAGAGGCUGAGAAGUGGGACCAGUGUCUCAAGGGGCGCCAGCCUCUUCCUCCGCCCAACAUGGCCACCAUUUUUGUUGGGAUAGCCUUGGGCUCCUGCCAGGGGAACAGCAGGGCAGUGAGGGAGUCAGGACUUUGGGCUGGUGGGGAGGCCGAGAAUCAAGGCUCUGGGGAGUCAGGACUUUGGGGCUGGUGGAGUGGCUGGGGACUGAGGCCCUGGGGGGUCAGGACCUUGGGCUGCUAUGGAGGCUGGGACUGAGGCUCUGGGGGAGUCAGGACCUUGAGCUGGUGGGGAGGCUGGGAAUUGAGGCCCUGGUGUGUUCAAGACCUUGGGCUGGUGGGGAGGCCAGGGCCUGAGGCCCUGGGGGGUCAGGACCCUGGGCUGUUGGGGAGGCUGGGGACUUAGGCCCUGGGGGGUCAGGAUCUUGGGCUGGUGGGGAGGCUGAAGGGUGGGGACUGAGGCUCUGGGCAGUCAGGACCUCACGGUUGGGGUGGACUGGAGACCAAGACCUUGGCAGGGGAGCUGUGGCUGCCUCAUUUGGACGCUGGAGGGUGGCUAGCGUGGCUGGAAGCGGCCAGCCAGGGGUUCACAGAACUGAAGGUGAGGCCUCCAGAGGCCCUAGUCUCUACCUGAGUGUCUCUGAAACUGGGGGGAUGGGGUGGAGCCUUUAGGGGGAAGGGAAGAGGGAACUGAAGAGGAAGUGGGGGAGGGAGGUAGAGGAGGCAAGUCUGGCGCCAUGCUGAGUCACCGCCCACAAGGCCCAGGGCGGGCCCUCGGGGGGCCCUGGCAGGGUUGGGGGGAUCUUAGGAAGCCACAAGGAGGGCUGGGGGGCUCUUGGAGCAGGAGUCAGGAGGCCUGGGCAGCCUGAAGAGUACACGCCGACGGACAGACAGACAGUGCAGUCACCCAUAAAGUAGAAAGCACUACUAACAGCACUGGAGGGUGUAGUGUUUCCUACUUUAUGGAUGAGUGUACUGUGGGCUUCGGAGAUCACGCCACUGCUGCCGCCCGCUGCCCGCCACCAUCUUCCUCGGCGCUCGGGGACCUCGUGUGACAGGUGAGCACCUUACGGCCCCUCCCUACCCUGCCCAGAUGCCUGAAAGGCCUCCAUGGCUUUCCUGCCCUUCCUGGUUCCGGACAGCUGGGGAAAGGCCACAGCAGCUCCUCUGCUGCCCUGCAGUCUUUGGGGGCGGGGAGGGCUGGACAUGUGGAACCCUGAUGCAGCCGCAGCGUCAAGGACGAGGAAGGGGUGGGAAGGGAUGGUACGUGGAGGGGAAUGGGUGGUGGGACCAGGGACCCAAUGCUAAUAAAGACUGGACUGUGCUUCUCUUU
This is a long non-coding RNA of Homo sapiens (human), 1645 nucleotides long. Ensembl annotates it as MIR142 host genes. Its record names the gene MIR142HG. The record is from Ensembl. NCBI's taxonomy places the organism in Eukaryota, Metazoa, Chordata, Mammalia, Primates, Hominidae.